This 550-nucleotide long non-coding RNA is filed under the name Mytilus galloprovincialis (Mediterranean mussel). Lineage: Eukaryota; Metazoa; Mollusca; Bivalvia; Mytilida; Mytilidae. The record is from RNAcentral.
CUUUCCUGAGUUCAACUCCAGUGCAAUACUGGCAUACUCCCAAAGAAAUACGUCUGCUCUGGAGUCAUCUUUUUUCAAUUUUUAGGUGGCCAACUAACGACUGCUGGAAUGGUAAUCAGCGGGAUGACUUCUUCUUGGUUCCAUUCUCUUCUUACAGCUGGGAAAAGUGGCAUGCCACCUUUCCCAAGGAGAUUCCUUGCCCGUUCACUUGCGGUUAUGUUGUCGUUGAGAGUUAUACAAUCUUCGCCAGUAGUAUAGGACUUGAACGAGGCCAGCGCACCCCCAAAAAAAAAAAAUUGACCCCCAAAAAAUUACCCUCAUUUCAAGUAAAAGAGCCCUAAAUUUUCAUAAAAAAAGCAAAAAACACCCAAAAAACACCAAAUUUUCUUACUCCCCAAAAAAAAUUUUUUUUUUACUUUUUUAUAAAAAAAAACAAUUAAAAACACAAAAAAACAAAAAAUUCCAAAAAAAAAAAUAAAAAAAACCGGGAGAACAGGCAGAGAAAGAAUUCUGUGGGAUUUAAGAGAAAAAAAUUUCCCCAGUGCGCCCC